Molecule: long non-coding RNA, 962 nt
Filed under: Pan paniscus (pygmy chimpanzee)
Lineage: Eukaryota; Metazoa; Chordata; Mammalia; Primates; Hominidae
Description: lncRNA (ENSPPAG00000044658.1)
Source: RNAcentral
UGGCAUUCCCUGGAAUUCAGCAUGUGGAUUCAUAGCUCAUCAUAGCAGCCUACUUGGGGGAAAAGCUUUGUAAUGCUCCUCUUGGGAACUGUCCAACUCACAGACAGCUCUAAAAAAGGAGAAAGAGAGAACCCUCUCAGCACCUGCCUCUGCCUUUAGCCACUUCCUGGGAGACUUUCCAACUGCACCCAAGGUGCAUGAUGUCUCAGCCCCCAGUGGGGAAUGUGGACCAAGGGGCCGUUUCCACCCUGGGCUUUCAGCAUUCGACACGGCCUAGGGGCCCCAGAACAGGUGCCUCCACAUGCGCCUCCAGCUCAGCGCUCUCCUUUUCGGUGUGUCUUGCCUCCUCUGUUCACCUCAGGCUGCGAUCAGCCAUAGGGAAGAGAUGACCAGAAUCCUUUCUGCUGUCUUCUGACACUGCCUGGCUGACCCUGCCUCACUCUGGCCUGCCCUUGACCUGGAUGGGGAAAUGGCUGCAGGCUGAUGGGCCAGCCAGGGACACCUCUGUGCACACUGAUGUGAGGCCAUGUCCCAUUCCCGGCUUGCUGGUUGUGUCCGAGGUCUAUGCUAACUGACCACAAUUUCUGCAGCCUUUCUGCUGACGGUUCAGCUCCAAGAAAGCUGUCUGGGGUGAAUUUCCAGCUUCCCUGGGUGGGGUUGAGAUGGGAACUAUGGACCUGUCUUGCUUGGACUGAAGCGGCACCAUGCAGCUGGCCACCUGUGGCUACCUGGCCAUAGACUACAGCGUUCCCACCUCCACAUCAGCCACAGACGCAAAGAGGAGCUGGGGUUCUGCACACCAGAUGCAAAAACUGAGGUUCCUUGACAGCUGCAGUCGUUUAAAGCCAUGGUGCAGCCACCCAAUGAUGGAAUGCAUCUUUGGCAAUCUGUUUCGCCAAGCCCUCCAGGUGACUGCGAAGCACUGGAGUGAUGACCUCAUGGCUGGGGUUGUGCAGUGGUAG